Molecule: ribosomal RNA, 484 nt
Filed under: uncultured bacterium
Lineage: Bacteria
Description: partial 16S ribosomal RNA
Rfam family: Bacterial small subunit ribosomal RNA
Source: RNAcentral
AUUGAACGCUGGCGGCAGGCCUAACACAUGCAAGUCGAGCGGAUGAAGGGAGCUUGCUCCUGGAUUCAGCGGCGGACGGGUGAGUAAUGCCUAGGAAUCUGCCUGGCAGUGGGGGAUAACGUCCGGAAACGGGCGCUAAUACCGCAUACGUCCUGAGGGAGAAAGUGGGGGAUCUUCGGACCUCACGCUCUCAGAUGAGCCUAGGUCGGAUUAGCUAGUUGGUGGGGUAAAGGCCUACCAAGGCGACGAUCCGUAACUGGUCUGAGAGGAUGAUCAGUCGCACUGGAGCUGAGACACGGUCCAGACUCCUACGGGAGGCAGCAGUGUGGAAUAUUGGACAAUGGGCGAGAGCCUGAUCCAGCCGUGCCGCGUGUGUGAAGAAGGUCUUCGGAUUGUAAAGCACUUUAAGUUGGGAGGAAGGGCAGUAAGUUAAUACCUUGCUGUUUUGACGUUACCAACAGAAUAAGCACCGGCUAACUUCGUG